UUCCGGUUGAUCCUGCCGGAGGUCACUGCUAUCAGUGUUCGACUAAGCCAUGCAAGUCAAAUGUUCUUCGUGAACAUGGCGGACUGCUCAGUAACACGUGGAUAACCCGCCCUUAGGAUUGGCAUAACACCGGGAAACUGGUGAUAAUACCGAAUAGACCAUUUAUGCUGGAAUGCUUUUUGGUUCAAAGACUUCGGCUGCCUAAGGAUGGAUCUGCGGCCUAUCAGGUAGUAGUGGGUGUAAUGUACCUACUAGCCUACGACGGGUACGGGUUGUGAGAGCAAGAGCCCGGAGAUGGAUUCUGAGACAUGAAUCCAGGCCCUACGGGGCGCAGCAGGCGCGAAAACUUUACAAUGCGGGAAACCGCGAUAAGGGGACACUGAGUGCCAGCAUAUUAUGUUGGCUGUCCACAUGUAUAAAAACCAUGUGUUAGCAAGGGCCGGGCAAGACCGGUGCCAGCCGCCGCGGUAACACCGGCGGCCCGAGUGGUGAUCACUUUUAUUGGGUCUAAAGGGUCCGUAGCCGGUUUGAUCAGUCUUCUGGGAAAUCUGACAGCUCAACUGUUAGGCUUUCAGGGGAUACUGUUAGACUUGGGACCGGGAGAGGUAAGAGGUACUACAGGGGUAGGAGUGAAAUCUUGUAAUCCCUGUGGGACCACCAGUGGCGAAGGCGUCUUACCAGAACGGGUCCGACGGUGAGGGACGAAGCUGGGGGCACGAGCCGGAUUAGAUACCCGGGUAGUCCCAGCCGUAAACGAUGUUCGCUAGGUGUCAGGCACGGUGCGACCGUUUCUGGUGCCGUAGGGAAGCCGUGAAGCGAACCACCUGGGAAGUACGGCCGCAAGGCUGAAACUUAAAGGAAUUGGCGGGGG
This 871-nucleotide ribosomal RNA is filed under the name uncultured archaeon. RNAcentral's name for it is "bacterial SSU rRNA". It matches the Rfam family "Archaeal small subunit ribosomal RNA", at positions 1 to 874 of the family's 1478-position model. The record is from RNAcentral.